GCGCUCACUUCGGCAGUACAUGUAUUAAAAUUGGAAUGAUACAGAGAAGAUUAGCAUGACCCCUGCACAAAGAUGGCAUGCAAAUUUGUCAAGUGUUCCAUAUUUUU
RNAcentral lists this small nuclear RNA (107 nucleotides) under Salvator merianae (Argentine black and white tegu). Lineage: Eukaryota; Metazoa; Chordata; Lepidosauria; Squamata; Teiidae. The record is from RNAcentral.